RNAcentral lists this ribosomal RNA (600 nucleotides) under Marinobacter sp. Its description in RNAcentral is "bacterial SSU rRNA". It matches the Rfam family "Bacterial small subunit ribosomal RNA", at positions 43 to 634 of the family's 1533-position model. Lineage: Bacteria; Pseudomonadati; Pseudomonadota; Gammaproteobacteria; Pseudomonadales; Marinobacteraceae. The record is from RNAcentral.
UGCGCAGCUUACCAUGCAGUCGAGCGGUAACAGGGGGUGCUUGCACCCCGCUGACGAGCGGCGGACGGGUGAGUAAUGCAUAGGAAUCUGCCCAGUAGUGGGGGAUAGCCCGGGGAAACCCGGAUUAAUACCGCAUACGCCCUUUGGGGGAAAGCAGGGGAUCUUCGGACCUUGCGCUAUUGGAUGAGCCUAUGUCGGAUUAGCUAGUUGGUGGGGUAAAGGCCUACCAAGGCGACGAUCCGUAGCUGGUCUGAGAGGAUGAUCAGCCACAUCGGGACUGAGACACGGCCCGAACUCCUACGGGAGGCAGCAGUGGGGAAUAUUGGACAAUGGGGGCAACCCUGAUCCAGCCAUGCCGCGUGUGUGAAGAAGGCUUUCGGGUUGUAAAGCACUUUCAGUGAGGAGGAAAACCUUCUGGUUAAUACCCAUGAGGCUUGACGUUACUCACAGAAGAAGCACCGGCUAACUCCGUGCCAGCAGCCGCGGUAAUACGGAGGGUGCAAGCGUUAAUCGGAAUUACUGGGCGUAAAGCGCGCGUAGGUGGUUUGAUAAGCGAGAUGUGAAAGCCCCGGGCUUAACCUGGGAACGGCAUUUCGAACU